AUGCUCUAGUUUCUCUUCAGAUCGUAUAAAUCUUUCGCCUUUUACUAAAGAUUUCCGUGGGGAGGAACAAUUACGAGUUAUCAACCAAUUUUUUUAAAGUCUCACCCUGUGAGGCUU
Molecule: small nuclear RNA, 117 nt
Organism: Sciurus carolinensis (gray squirrel)
Lineage: Eukaryota; Metazoa; Chordata; Mammalia; Rodentia; Sciuridae
Product: U5 spliceosomal RNA
Exons: 1
Source: RefSeq, a predicted model, not a curated record